RNAcentral lists this transfer RNA (64 nucleotides) under Goera martynowi. Its description in RNAcentral is "tRNA-Thr". The record is from RNAcentral. Lineage: Eukaryota; Metazoa; Arthropoda; Insecta; Trichoptera; Goeridae.
GUUUUAAUAGUUUAAAAAAAACCUUGAUUUUGUAAUUCAAUAAUAAGAAAUUUCUUUUAAAACU